CCUACGGGGGGCAGCAGUGGGGAAUAUUGCACAAUGGGCGCAAGCCUGAUGCAGCCAUGCCGCGUGUGUGCAGAAGGCCUUCGGGUUGUAAAGCACUUUCAGCGGGGAGGAAGGCGUUAAGGUUAAUAACCUUGGCGAUUGACGUUACCCGCAGAAGAAGCACCGGCUAACUCCGUGCCAGCAGCCGCGGUAAUACGGAGGGUGCAAGCGUUAAUCGGAAUUACUGGGCGUAAAGCGCACGCAGGCGGUCUGUCAAGUCGGAUGUGAAAUCCCCGGGCUCAACCUGGGAACUGCAUUCGAAACUGGCAGGCUAGAGUCUUGUAGAGGGGGGUAGAAUUCCAGGUGUAGCGGUGAAAUGCGUAGAGAUCUGGAGGAAUACCGGUGGCGAAGGCGGCCCCCUGGACAAAGACUGACGCUCAGGUGCGAAAGCGUGGGGAGCAAACAGGAUUAGAUACCCUAGUAGUC
Molecule: ribosomal RNA, 465 nt
Filed under: uncultured Klebsiella sp.
Lineage: Bacteria; Pseudomonadati; Pseudomonadota; Gammaproteobacteria; Enterobacterales; Enterobacteriaceae
Description: bacterial SSU rRNA
Rfam family: Bacterial small subunit ribosomal RNA
Source: RNAcentral